UGACUCUAUGUCUCCCUAUCUGAAUCUUUAUCUUUCUCAUUUCAUUCUGAAUUGUUUUCCUUUUUUUCUCAGUUUCUUCAUUCUGGGAUGAUUUCAUGAUGCCCAACAGUCAUAAUGAGCGGUGUUCUUUAAAGUCUCUGCCAAUGAUCUCCUGAGAUUUGGUGACUAAUACUAGCUCAGCAUUUCCUAGAAGAUCAAUUGGGACAUCCUUUCAACUGUCAGAAUGAAGGAAAUUAUACUGUUGGCUAUGACUUUGUGUGCUUCAAAACAUCAGGAGAAUCAGAUGAAGAAAGCAUCUUCAGCACCCAGCUCAUCUUCAGCUUAGAAGACUCAUGGGAUCUACAGAUGACUCAAAGACAAGAGGGAAACCAAAAUCAUCAGAUGACAGAGCUGGAAAAGGCACUUUAAAGGCUAGAACAUUAGUCUGAACCUAAUAAAAUGAUAA
RNAcentral lists this long non-coding RNA (445 nucleotides) under Monodelphis domestica (gray short-tailed opossum). Its description in RNAcentral is "lncRNA (ENSMODG00000051239.1)". The record is from RNAcentral. Lineage: Eukaryota; Metazoa; Chordata; Mammalia; Didelphimorphia; Didelphidae.